Molecule: long non-coding RNA, 3463 nt
Organism: Rhipicephalus sanguineus (brown dog tick)
Lineage: Eukaryota; Metazoa; Arthropoda; Arachnida; Ixodida; Ixodidae
Exons: 3
Source: RefSeq, a predicted model, not a curated record
UUCCCAAAAAAGUCCAAACGUCCCACAUCCCAACAAGGUGGUUUUUAGGAUGUCCUUUAGACAUGUGCAUAGGGAUCAUUCCUAAAACAUCCCUUCUAGGAUCUGAUUGGGACUUCAAGUUAGCGGUGAAAUAAGCUACUGUGUUGAAAAUUGGCGAUCCUAAAGAAUCGGAAACAGCAACUCCGCCGAAGAGCAUGGUUGGCGCGCGUGCACAAUUGCAUAUCUACAUGCACAUGAAAAACAUUAUAUCCGCGUUUUUUGUGAAAGUGUUCGUUUCUUUUUUUGUUUCUUUCUAAAUGUCGCGCCGUUAUGAGGACGAGGGAUCGAUUGCUGUCUGCGUGAGCAAGUGUUGCACUUGGUAAAGGCGGUACGACACACGUACUCGCGCCACUGUGCUCACUGCUCACGCACGCCGUGCUUUGCCGCACUGCACAAGCGGUGGUGUGGUGGUGUCGUAUUUAUAAAAACACCGACAUAUUAACUUUAGAAGAAUUGAAUGAAAUAUUGUUAUUUUAUUGUUUUAUUCUUAGGUUUAAUACGCAAUUGUUCUUUAAUUGCGCUUACUGCGAGCCAACACCUGCUCAAAUAAUUUGCUGCGAGCACUGCGCAGACAUUGCCAUCGCCAUCAUGGCGCCCGGCAUGUUUGGAGUUCGGACAGAUCAGACUCUUCGUUGGCCUCGUUUUUAGGUGUUUGAUCCGUGACGUUUCGUCGAAAAAUCACAAGAGCGCAUGCCGUAGGUGUUUGCCUGGUUGCAAGAUCUUGCCGAUUUCAACGUUUUUCCACCUCUUCGGUUGGCGUACGCUGAGCUGGACCCUCGCAGCAAGAAUGGCACGUGGGAAUUGACACCGCGAUCGUGGAACACAUGGCUGAUCUGCCUCGAAUAACUGCAAGCCGGCGCGUGCGUAGUGCCGUGGAGAACGAUCAGAAGUCCUGGACGACAAAGAAAAAAACUUCAAAGGUUUGUUGUACAUGUUUUCCACGACAACUGACAUAAACGUAAAAAAAAAUUGGAAUGGUCAAAUGCAUGUGUCACGUUUAUCCAUUUGUAGUGGGCUGUGGACAUGAAUUAAGCAUUGCUGCACACAAGACUGGCUUGCCCUCAGUUUAUGCCCAGCACCAAAUUUUUUGCUCUCAUUAUGACACCAUUUGUAAGAAAAGCCAGAACUUAUGUUCAAAACAGCGCAUAUUCAUGCUAUUCUUUUAUUCAGUUGCAUGUGUGAGUCCUGCUGCUGGCCAUCAGUUAGCCGGUUAUCAGAAGAAAAGGGCACAGCCCAGUUUUGUAUUGGUACAUACCGUAUCGUUUGUGAUUAUGAUCAUGAUUUUUGUCUUACUGAAACAAGAAACUGAAAAAUGUAUGUUGGUGUUUCUGCUACAUCUCUAUGAAGCAGCAGAACCUGUUGCUCAGUCACUUGGUGCAUAUUAGCAACUGGCACCUUGCCUGGCUUCCCUAUACCUCCGCUUUUUUUCAGUGCAUGUUGUUUUCAUCCUUUACCAGCAGUCAAGUAGUUUCACACAACCGAAAUGACCAACUAGCCCACUUUGUUUGUCAAGUAGAUUUGUGAUAUGCACUGUUGCUCAAUGAUAUUCUUUUUGCAUGUGCUAUCUGUGUACACAUAUUACAUGAUCUUUUUUUCUUUUUUUCAGCUGGUUCUAGUAGUGGUGCCCCUGGUGUGCACCUUUACCCCAAAUGUCUGCACCUUUGCCUACCGGUAAUGACAUAGAAAGUGCUCAGCUUCCUGGACAUAGGCAUGCAGGUUACGAGACGGAAAACGUGCAGCUUAGACUUAAUGCUUGUAAAUGCGAAAAUCGUAACUGACAUAAUUAGAGUAAGCUAAAAGGAGAAAUUUCUGCUUAUGAGCUAGUAAUUAUGAAGCAGGUUUUACUCCUCUUAAACUAGCAGACAUGCAACAACACUGUUGUGCUAUGUUUGUUUUGUGCGCCAUUUUCAUGCAUAUUUGUGCUUGCAGUGGAUAUGCAUAUACAUGAAGGAUUUGUUUUUGUUUUCCUCAGCUGCCUCUGCGAACCCCGCUCCUGGACAACAGCUGGGAGGCUCUGUGUUUAAACGCGUGCACCUUGGACGUCAUGCUCGUAAAUACCAAUUCCUUUGUCAUUCCUGGCAUGAAUUUUGUUGGUAAAGCAAUAGGUAAAAUUGUGCAUUGUUGUUUACAAUCACUUCAGUAUGAACCAGGCUUAAAGGAGAAGGGACCGACAACUGGCCAGAACUUGUGAUUAGAUCCUGUCAGAAAUGAAAAUACCGCGCUAUAUGCUGACAUAUUCCAGCAUCCUUUUCGCGCUGUGAGUAGGAUUUAUAUCUCUAAAUUGUGUUUAAAAGUAACAAAAAAAUUAUGUUGUGCAACCUAUCGCAAGAGCCUUGAAGCUAGAUUGCAGAGUUGAUCACUUUGCUGUACAAAGUCACGUAGUCUGAUACCGUCAUGUGUGCCAUUAUUGGUCCUAAAAAUAUUAGUAUGUAUAUUACUAUCCAUCCCCGCUCUAUUCUGUGCUGCUUAUGAGGUAAAAGGAGUUGCAUGGUGACAAGAAACGGCGCUGCCUUCGCGGUAGCCAGUGGACCAUGUCGAGCCGCAGCACAUGCGCGCGAGUACACACACACGCAGUAAACCGCCGCGCUCGAACACGAACCGCUGUCACGCUCACUGUUUGCAGCAUGCCUUGUUACGUGUGUAUACAACUUCAUAUCCGUCGCAGAUAGAAAAAUUCGAAUUACAAAUGUUUCACGGCAUUUUCCACAUCACCAUUCCUUGAUUAUACACUCUUGACUGGUAAGCUUUCUGUCGCGCUAAAGAAAAUAGGUACCAUAAAAGUUGGUUGUCGGUCCCUUUAACCUCUUAACACACACAGGUCAAAAUAGGCAUGCUAUAUCCCCGUUGUGCACCAUCUUUGUGCGUUUGUGUGUGCAGUAUGGACAUGUACAUUAAGGCUUUGUUUUUGUUCUCAGCUGCCUCUGCGAGCCCUGCUGUUGGACGCCAGCUGGAAUGCUCUGCGUUUGAAAGCGUGCGCCCCAGAUGUCAUACUCAUAAAUACAGAGUUCUCAUGAUUCUAGUGUUGAAAAAGCAAUAAGUAAAAGCAGGCACUUGUGCAUCUGGAAUGAGGUUUAACCCUGUCUCAGGAGACAUAAGACAAUAUAGUCAUGCUAUGUUCCUGUUGUUCACCAUUUUCAUGCAUGUUGUGUGCAGUACGUAUACAUACAUGCAGGCUUUGUUUUUGUUGCCCUCAGCUGCCUCUGCAAGCCCUUUUGCUGGACGCCAUGGAAGGCCCUCCACUCGAAAGUGUGCACCUUAGACUACACGCUCAUCAAUACCAAGUUCUUUGUCCUUCUCGGCAUGAUUGUAGUGCCAUAUAAUAGUGAGGCAAUAAAUCAUUUUUGCUGGUCACUUGAUGUUCCAUGCAUGUUGCUUGGUUUCUGAACACUUGACUUGGUUUUAAGUUAUCUAGUUAUCUAUGUGA